UAGAGAUUAGCAUAGAAAGAAAAAGCAAUAAAGAGAUAGGAGAUUUUUUUUUAAAGAUAACAAAAUGAACCUUCUAUAUUGAGAACCAUCAUCUAGAGGCAAUUUCAUUAGGUUCACUUCUUACCUUAUUCUUUAUUCUCUAUUUUCUUUUGUUAGUUCAUUGCCAUAUUUUCAUUUUUUCAUGAUGUAACAUUAUUUGCAGUAAAAUGCCCUUUUGUUUUAUUAUUCAUUAACUCAAAGCCUGAAUCCUAACAUGGGCCAAAAAGAAGUGAGGUUUUAACUCCAUAGGCAGUGUCGCCUUCACGUCAUCGUGUGGCUCGAUCACACCAUGCUUGGUCGUCGGCUCACAACCAGACCGUUAAGCAAACCCCAUUUGGUCUCAGCGGCAUGUCACAGUGUUUCCGACAUGAUGCCUUGGCCCUCAAGGUCAGUCCCGACGGCAACACACGAACUCUGUUUGGGCUAUCUCGGCCAGCUCCGCCUCACCGCGGUGAUACCUUACUCCCAGCGGGAUGUCUUUUCCCCUUCUCUAGCACCGACUUUGCCAUAAAAAAGGAACCUGGACCUUCAGUCCAGGUGGGGAAGACGACCCCCAUCCUUUAUAUUUUUUACAUUUCUAUUCUCUUUUUUUCAUUUUAUUUAUUUAUUUUAAUUCUUAUUGUUUUAUUUAUUUAUUCAGCAUAUAUUAUUUGUUUAUUUUUUGUCAUGUACUAAUUAUCUUGUUUCAUACUAUGAGUAAUCUUAUUUUCAUUUGGG
This 756-nucleotide long non-coding RNA is filed under the name Lupinus angustifolius (narrow-leaved blue lupine). Its description in RNAcentral is "long non-coding RNA (LANG_LNC000260)". The record is from RNAcentral. Lineage: Eukaryota; Viridiplantae; Streptophyta; Magnoliopsida; Fabales; Fabaceae.